CACAGCUCGACAUGGGAUUUGUUAGGGACACAGAUCCAAACCGUAUCAGCAUGUAAAUGAAAAAUUUUUAAUACUUUCCGAACAAUCUGGGUAACAGGAAAUGAAAUGUAUUUGAAUGUCUCUUCUAAGUGCUGAAGGUAUUUUCAAAUCCAAGUUCAACUAUGAGGCUGGCAUCUGGACAUUUGUUUCCCAGAGCUGGUUUUAGAUUCUUGGUUCUGCAACUGAACGGUUAUGAAACUUGGAGAAACAAAGAAAAUAUGCCUUUCAUCGCUCCGGGGCUCGAUUUUUUCCAUGUGAAGCAUGGUAAAAUACUCUUUCUGAAGCCUGUUUUUGCUCUAACACCCCCCGAUUUGAUUAGUGCUUUAGCUCUCUGCCUUUGUUUUCCUAUUUAUAUAAAAGAAUUUUAUUCCUUUGGCCUUCCAGGAUCAAUUAGUCAAUGGAUCCAUUAGUGAAGAACUUUCAACCUUGAAGUGCUAAGUAGUUCUGUUAUUGCUUGUAGAGCAAGCUGAUCUUGGCUGCAUGUGAUGUAAAACUGCUGCGACUUCUAAAAUCGUUGCUGAGUCUUUAAGAGAACAAGAUACUUAUUGAAUCCAAAAGGCCACUCUGUCUCAGCACUCUGGCCUGUGGGGUUGAAGAGAGGCAGGUGUUUGGGAAGGGGAUGUUUGGGAAGGAGGUGUUGGGGAAGGAGUUGUUGGGGAAGGGGGAAGGAGGUGUUGGGAAGGAGGUGUUGGGGAAGGAGGUGUUGGGGAAGGAGGUGUUUGGGAAAGAGGGGUUUGGGAAGGAGGUGUUGGGAAGGCGGUGUUGGGAAGGAGGUGUUGGGAAGGAGGUGUUGGGAAGGAGGUGUCUGGGAAGGAGGUGUUUGGGAAAGAGGUGUUUGGGAAGGAGGUGUUGGGGAAGGAGGUGUUGGGAAGGAGGUGUUUGGGAAGGAGGUGUCUGGGAAGCCUGAUCAGCUAUCACAUCUCCCUUGGGAAUCUUGCCUUCAUGCAGUGAGUAUUUGCAACUGUAUGUCCCUUAACAAAGAAGGAAUUGUGUGGACCACAUCCUCACAGAACACAGCAUGUAUUACAUGAAGGACUGACCCAAUCUGUGUCUGUGGUGUUUGGGACAAUAGCUGAGAUAAUAAGGCCUUCCAAUUCCCCCAGGUUCUCCAAUCAUGCCACAUGACCCUCUUAGCAUCUCUGAUACAAUAACCAGAGAGGGGAUAGUCAUCCCCAUUGUUAAGAUGCAGAUGCAGAAAUUCAGAGGGGGGUGCCGACUGUCUCCUAUCACAUGGCAGCAGCAGGGGGCAGAGCUGGACAGUCCCAGCUCCAUCCUGGUUCUGCUGCCAUGGGUCUGGGGUGCGUUACUCCCUGGCUCCUUUCUGCUGGCUCUUUUUAAUGGCCGGACUCCUCUUGGGAGCUCUGUUCAGUCUAGGCUUAUCCAGCUGAGAAGGUGCAGCACUUUGGCAUUUUGAGGGACACAUACAGGAUGCAGCAUGGAAUGUCUCUGAAUUUGGGAUCCUG
Molecule: long non-coding RNA, 1502 nt
Filed under: Homo sapiens (human)
Lineage: Eukaryota; Metazoa; Chordata; Mammalia; Primates; Hominidae
Description: non-protein coding lnc-DCLRE1A-1:1
Source: RNAcentral